GAGAAGUUAACUUUAUGGAAAGUUUAUGCUUUGAAAGCAUACUAAAAGAGUUCAAUUCCCUUACUUCUUC
This 70-nucleotide transfer RNA is filed under the name Lebbeus groenlandicus. RNAcentral describes it as "tRNA-Ser". It matches the Rfam family "tRNA". From Rfam's summary of the family: Transfer RNA (tRNA) molecules are approximately 80 nucleotides in length. Their secondary structure includes four short double-helical elements and three loops (D, anti-codon, and T loops). The record is from RNAcentral. Lineage: Eukaryota; Metazoa; Arthropoda; Malacostraca; Decapoda; Hippolytidae.